This is a long non-coding RNA of Homo sapiens (human), 1099 nucleotides long. Ensembl annotates it as mir-100-let-7a-2-mir-125b-1 cluster host gene. Its record names the gene MIR100HG. Lineage: Eukaryota; Metazoa; Chordata; Mammalia; Primates; Hominidae. The record is from Ensembl.
GCUUCAAAUGGGAGGCCAAUCAAUGCAGCAUUAGGAAGGCUUCAUUCAGCUCAGCACCACCUUGGAUGGGGUCUUGCUCUGUUGCCCAGGCUGGAGUGCAGUGGCGUGAUCUCAGCUUACUGCAACCUCCGCCUCCCAAGUUCGAGUAAUUCUCCUGCCUCAGCCUCCUGAGUAGCUGGAAUUACAGGCACCCAUCACCACAUCUGGCUAAUUUUUGUAUUUUUAGUGGAGAUGCGGUUUUGCCAUGUUGGCCAGGCUGAUCUCAAACCCCUGACCUCAGGGGAUCCACUGCCUCGGCCCCCCAAAGUUCUGGAAUUACAGUGAAGAUCCCGGUGUUACACAUCCAAUCGUUCACCUCCUUCCAAGACUAUGACAUUCCAGGAAACCUUCACUGCUAAGAGGAACUAAGAUCUAGAGUAUCUCCUCGAGGAAGUACAACUGGAUUCUCCCUCCUUGGUUCUUCCCUGGACCAAGGACAGAAGAAUCAUUCAACACAGAGGCUAUUGACAAAAGGGGCAUAUUUGGUGCAAACAGGGGUAAUUAAUAAGAAGUCCAGUGGCUCACACCUGCGAUCCCAGCACUUUGGGAGGCUGAGAUGGGCAGAUUGCUCGAGCCCAGGAAUUCAAGACCAACCUGGGCAACAUGGCAAAACCCCAUCUCUACAAAAAUACAAAAAUUAACCAGAUGUGAUGGUUCAUGCCUGUAGUCCCAGCUACUCUGGAGGCUGAUGUGGGAGGAUCGCUUGAGCCUAGGAAGUCAAGGCUGCAGUGAGUCAUGAUUGCUCCGCUCCACUGCACUCUGGCCUUGAUGAUAGAGUGAGAACCAGUCUCAAAAAAAAAAAGGUCAUUUUCUAAGCAUUUGUUGAUUCAAUACUGCCCACUAUGUACACUGACAAUUAGACAUAAUUUAAUUUCAGCUCAUGGUAUGAAUGGAGACAAAAUGAAAUCAUUUUAAUGCACAUUAAGGCAAUAUAGUGCCCUUAAAUAAAAAGUUGAAGUUCAUAAGGGACCAUCAUUAAGAUUUAACUUUGUAACAAAUAUUUUGUUUUUGUUUGUUUUAUUUUUAGAUUUGCAUAAUAAAACAUUCAUAUUCUUACCCA